This 1796-nucleotide ribosomal RNA is filed under the name Triticum aestivum (bread wheat). RNAcentral's name for it is "partial small subunit ribosomal RNA". The record is from RNAcentral. Lineage: Eukaryota; Viridiplantae; Streptophyta; Magnoliopsida; Poales; Poaceae.
GAGCAUUUGUCUUAAGCACCUGCAUUGUCCACAUGCUCUGAGGUUGCGACUCGGUAGCUAUCACAAAGCCUGACACUGGACAGAAAAUCCCUCGUUCUCCGGUGAACAGUCAACUGUAUAGGAUUGGGUUGGUACGCAGAUGCAACGGGGGGCCAAAUGGCGGCAAAAAAAGGACACAUUCUUGAUCUUUAAAUUAACAACCAUGGGGUCGGAGCGGAGCGGAGACUGGUCUGCGCAGGUCCAGGUACCAAAGCUCAAAAACAAAUACUCCCCUGUCUCCUCCUUGAUCCUUGAGUACCACCAAUUUGGCGAUUUGCAGGACCAAUUCAUGAGUUGUUGUCUGCGCUAGCUAGCUGCCCUGUCUCUUCGCUCCCGCGAGAAGCCAAGAAACAGGGGAGCGCCGCCCGCGGCGCAGCAGCAGCAGCUUCAUUCAUGGCGACGGGGGAGGGGGCGGACGGGACUGGCAGGAGAGGGGUCCCUUCCUUGCUCCAGGACGGCGGGACCGGGCAGGACGAGCACAUCGCGUCCGACGUCACCCAGCUGAUAGGGUGGACGCCGCUGAUCGAGCUGAGGCGGAUCGCCGGGAAGGAGGGGGUGGGUGCGCGCAUCGUCGGCAAGAUCGAGGCCUAUCAGCCCCUCUGCUCCGUCAAGGACCGCAGCGCUCUCAGGAUGAUCGAGGAUGCUGAAGAGAAAGGGCUGAUUUCACCAGGUGUCACGACUCUAGUCGAGCCGACCAGCGGUAAUUUGGGCCUGGGAUUGGUUCUGAUUGCCCUAAGCAAAGGCUACAGGUUCGUCGCGGUGAUGCCGGGCCAAUACUCGCUUGAUAAGCAGAUCUUGUUGAGAUACAUGGGUGCUGAGUUGUUCAUAACUGAUCCAACACUUGGGUUCCCAGGAAUAACCGACAAGGUUGAACAGCUCAAGAAAGAAUUACCGAAUGUACACGUUCUUGAUCAGUUCUCAAAUCCAGCAAAUCCUGAUGCACACAUCAGAAUGACUGGACCUGAGAUUUGGAAGGAUACUGCUGGCAAGGUGGACAUAUUUGUUGCUGGUUCAGGCUCAGGAGGCACGGUAUCUGGUGUCGGAAAGUAUCUGAAGAUGCAAAACCCAAAUGUGAAGAUCAUUUGUGUGGAACCUACAGAGAGUUCAGUUAUUUCAGGUGGGGAACCAGGAAAACAUAAAAUCCAGGGAAUAGGACCAGGAUUCUUACCUGAGAUCUUGGACACCUCGGUCAUUGAUGAAACGGUCACCGUGACCACCGAGGACGCAAUGGUGAAUGCGAGGAGGUUGGCAAUGGAAGAAGGCCUGCUUGUGGGCAUAUCUUCUGGGGCAAACCUGGCAGCUUGCUUGAAGGUUGCAGCGAGAGAAGAGAACAAGGGGAAGAUGAUUGUGACCAUGUUCCCGAGCGGGGGCGAGAGAUACAUGAACUCGGACCUCUUUGCAGCUGUAAGAGAAGAGUGUAUUGCCAUGACCUUUUGAUCUCACAUCUUAUAAACUCGAAAGAGUUGUAUGUGAAGGGUAUAUGUAGUCGGUUACCUUAAUGUGUUGCAGUGGACAACAUUCCUACGGAGUUUACCUGCAAGGGAUCAUGAAUUGUUAUUAGUCACUGAAUGAAUGCCCAGGAAUGUGUUACUAGAUAAUCAUGCCAUAGCGUCACUAAGAAAGAACAUAUAUUUUUCAAUUAGCUAUACAGAGCAUAAUUAGCAUACAUCCGGCCCCUGCAUGAUUAGGAUAUACACACGACAACAAAAUUAAAAAAACACCAGCAAUAACAAGGUCAUAUGGGACCAAAAGCAUGC